Molecule: ribosomal RNA, 791 nt
Filed under: methanogenic prokaryote enrichment culture J0704730_A19-42_M13F-47
Description: bacterial SSU rRNA
Rfam family: Archaeal small subunit ribosomal RNA
Source: RNAcentral
ACUGCUCAGUAACACGUGGAUAACCUGCCCUAAGGAAGGGGAUACCCCCGGGAAACUGGGGAUAAUACCCUAUAGGUUACAGAUGCUGGAAUGCUCUGUAACCGAAAGUUCCGGCGCCCUAGGAUGGAUCUGCGGCCGAUUAGGUUGUUGUCGGGGUAACGGCCCAACAAGCCAGUAAUCGGUACGGGUUGUGGGAGCAAGAGCCCGGAGUUGGAUUCUGAGACACGAAUCCAGGCCCUACGGGGCGCAGCAGGCGCGAAAACUUUACAAUGCGGGCAACCGUGAUAAGGGAACCUCGAGUGCCUGUAUAUGCAGGCUGUCUGGGUGUCUAAAACACACCUAAAGAAAGGGCCGGGCAAGACCGGUGCCAGCCGCCGCGGUAAUACCGGCGGCUCGAGUGGUGGCCACUUUUAUUGGGCUUAAAGCGUUCGUAGCUGGGUUAUUAAGUCCCUUGGGAAAUCCGACGGCUUAACCGUCGGGCGUCUAAGGGAUACUGGUAAUCUUGGAACCGGGAGAGGUGAGGGGUACUUCGGGGGUAGGAGUGAAAUCCUGUAAUCCUCGAGGGACCACCUGUGGCGAAGGCGCCUCACCAGAACGGCUUCGACAGUGAGGGACGAAAGCUGGGGGAGCAAACCGGAUUAGAUACCCGGGUAGUCCCAGCCGUAAACGAUGUGCGUUAGGUGUAUCGGUGACCACGAGUCACCGAGGUGCCGAAGGGAAACCGUGAAACGUACCGCCUGGGGAAGUACGGUCGCAAGGCUGAAACUUAAAGGAAUUGGCGGGGGAGCACA